UGGGGAAUAUUGCACAAUGGGGGAAACCCUGAUGCAGCAACGCCGCGUGGAGGAUGACGCAUUUCGGUGUGUAAACUCCUUUUAUAAGGGAAGAUAAUGACGGUACCUUAUGAAUAAGCACCGGCUAACUCCGUGCCAGCAGCCGCGGUAAUACGGAGGGUGCAAGCGUUACUCGGAAUCACUGGGCGUAAAGGAUGCGUAGGCUGUAAUAUAAGUCAGAAGUGAAAUCCAACGGCUCAACCGUUGAACUGCUUUUGAAACUGUUUUACUAGAAUAUGGGAGAGGUAGAUGGAAUUGGUGGUGUAGGGGUAAAAUCCGUAGAUAUCACCAGGAAUACCGAUUGCGAAGGCGAUCUACUGGAACAUUAUUGACGCUGAGGCAUGAAAGCGUGGGGAGCAAA
RNAcentral lists this ribosomal RNA (400 nucleotides) under uncultured bacterium. RNAcentral's name for it is "bacterial SSU rRNA". It matches the Rfam family "Bacterial small subunit ribosomal RNA", at positions 355 to 772 of the family's 1533-position model. The record is from RNAcentral.